Molecule: long non-coding RNA, 12178 nt
Filed under: Malus domestica (apple)
Lineage: Eukaryota; Viridiplantae; Streptophyta; Magnoliopsida; Rosales; Rosaceae
Description: long non-coding RNA (MDOM_LNC011736)
Source: RNAcentral
UUAUCAUCCAACGGUCUAGAACUUUACUCAUCUAACGGCCUUGAUUGCACAGGCCGAUAGUGUAAAUUUGGAUCCAAACACAACCAUAUAAUUUUUCCAUUAUAGCAUUUAUGAUUGAUGCUGAUGGGUACAUAAAAAAGCCACAAAUUUUGCAGAAGAUAACAUAAUCACAUGAAAUAAGGGACAUACACCAAUAAGUAAAAGUUCGAUGAGGUAGCACAUGAAAUAAAGGACAUACACCAAUAAGUAAAAGUUCGAUAAGGUAACCCUAGCCCACGCACAUCUUAUAUAUAUAAACACACAAACGUGAUUUGAUACGAACGAAACAGUCGUCAUAUCAAAUGUUUUUAUUAAUCACACACAUGCAGAUAGAUCGUGAUUGCAGCACACAGAUUAAUCACAGAUCAUAUACUUAAGCCUUAAGCCUUCUGUGUUUAUUUUGCAUCGGUGCUUGUAAGGUGAGCAUCAAUAUCUUUGGAGAGCUCAACUACAAACUGGAGCAAUGUAUGUGGAUCUUCAAUAUCGUCAUGGUGCUUCUCAUACUCCAUAGUCCAGUGCACGUUGCAUCCCUCGUCUUUCGGAGUUCCGUGGAUGGUGAUCUUGAAGCUCUUGUAAUGCUCCAUAAGAUCUCCUUCAAUCACUUUGAAAGUGAUCAGAUUAUUUUCAGCGUCUAUGGCUUCAAUCAACUCCUUAGCAACUUUGGCUUUUCCAUCUGCAUGCAUGAAAAUCUCACGUAAUUAAUAUGAUAUCACAAACUUGAGCUUAGUUAAUUUGGUUAGAACAAUGUAAGUUCAAAUCCACUCCUCAUAAAUUAGAUAAAUUUAGUAUAAAAAUGUCGCUUGUGUAUUUUAGGGUGGUACAUAUAUAUAAAAGAGUACUAUAGUCGAUAUUAAAUGAAGCAAGGUAGUUAGGAUCUUACCAUGGAAAUAAUUCCAGUAGACCACAGAUCCGACGGUUCCCCAGUCACCUUCAUGUAGGUCACAGCCCUGAAUGUUUCUAUUGCUGGCGUUGGAGAUGUGGUGUGGUUUGUGUGUGAACAUUUCAUGGAACUUGGCAGCAGAAGCCUUGAUUUCAACAUCGGUCUCCAGCUUACCACAAUCGCUAGACAUUUUCACCAAAAAACGGGUAUUUUCCAAAUAUUAUAGGAGGAAGUGUAGAGUUAUUUAGCCUAUAUAUAGAGUACUUAUUUGAAUAAAACUGAUUGGAAUCUUGCACUUAUAUAGACGGAGAAGGUGACCGCAUUAUAGCAACAAAUAAGACACAUGCUUAACAAUUGAGCUGAAAUAAUUGCCUCCACUCAGAUUAUGUUAUUAAUUUAGAAUAUAGUAGGUAAUAAAAGGAUUGAUUGGACAUGUCUAAUAUAACAGAUCAUAUAGAACUUUAACGAAAAACUCAUGAUACUGUUCACUUUAACGAAAAACCACAUUUUUACGCUAAAAAGUCAAUUCUAGUACUAUUCACUUUACCUUUUAUUUUGUCCUUAUCUUUAAAAAUCAAAGUUUUCAAGCUCUUUUCAUUAAUAUAUAUAGAGUAUAUACACAUCCAUUUUCACUUUUCACACACCCUUCUCAAUUUUCGGUCUUCAAAUCGAAUGAAUUGAAAAUGAUCAAAUGACUAAACUUAACAAAAGGUGUGUGAGAAGUGAAAAAUGAGUAUGUGGAUAGCACAUCCCUAUAUAUAUAUAGGGAUGUGCUAUUCACACACUCAUUUUUACUUCCCACACAUCAUUUGUUAGUUUCUAUCCGUUGAUUUUCUUUAAUUCAUCCGAUCCGACGACCAAAAAUUAGAAGAAUGUAUGAGAAGUAAAAAGAGGUGUGUGGAUAUCACACCCCAUAUAUAUAUAUAUAUGUGAAGAUAGAGAUAAAAAUAUAAUUUAGCAAAUUCAAUAAUUCAAAGAUCGAGACGGACGAGCUAACUCUCCAAAUUCCGUUGAAAUUCCUAUAACAAAAUAUAAAUCUUCAAUAUGGCAAUUGUGGCCGCAUAAUUUGUAAAAAGGGUAAAAAAUUGUUUACUACCCUCAUGUUUCGUAGUUUUUAACAUUUAGUACAUCAAGUUUUUUUCGUCGUCAUACCUAAAGUGUAAAUUUUUGGGACAGUCUCAUACAUCCGUUAGUCAAACUGUUAAGUCUCUUGUUAACUGUGACGUGGCGCCCAUGUGGACACUGACUGGGCGCCACGUGUCAUCCACGUGGAAAUUUAAAAUAAAUUAUUUAUAAAAUAAAUAAAUAUAUAUAUAAAAAAUAUAUAUAUAUAUAUAUAUUAAAAAAAUUUAAAAAAAACCUUCAUCUUCCCCAGAUUCGGAGGAAGAAGAAGAAGGAGAAGAAGGAGAAGAAGAAAGAGAAGAAUGGGAAGGAAGAAGGAGGAAGGAAGAAGGAAGAAGGAGAAGAAGGAGGAAGAAAAAAAAAAGUUGCACUCGGAGUAAGAAGAAGGAAGAAGAAGGAGGAAGAAGAAAAAAAAAAAAAAAUCUUUCCCAGAUUCGGAGGAAGGAGAAGGAAGAAGGAGGAAGAAAAAAAAAAAAAUCUUCCCCGGAUUCGGAGGAAGAAGAAGAAGAAGAAGAAGAAGAAGGAAGAAGGAGAAGAAGGAGGAAGGAAGAAGGAGAAGGAGGAAGAAAAAAAAAGUUGCAAUCCGAGAAAGAAGAAGAAAGAAGGAGGAAGAAGAAAAAAAAAAGAAAAAAGAAAAAAAGAAAAAACUGAAUUUGCAACCCAGAUUCGGAGGAAGAAGAAGAAGAAGAAGAAGAGGAGGAAGGAAGAAGGAGGAAGGAGAAGGAAGAAGGAGGAAGAAGAAAAAAAAAUCUUCUUAAGAAGAAGAAGAAGGAAGAAGGAGGAAGAAGAAGAAAGAAGAAAAAAAAAUCUUCCCCAGAUUCGGAGGAAGAAGAAGAAGAAGAAGGAGAAGGAAGAAAAAGGAAGAAGGAGAAGGAGGAAGGAAGAAGGAGAAGGAGGAAUGAAAAAAAAAAAUUGUAGUAAGAAGAAAAAGAAGAAGAAGAAGAAAGAAGAAAAAAAAAACGUGGAUGACACGUGGCGCCCAAUCAGUGUCCACAUGGGCGCCACGUCACAGUUAACAGGAGACUUAACAGUUUGACUAACGGAUGUAUAAGACUGUCCCAAAAUUUACACUUUAGGUAUGACUCUGAGACAAAAAAAACUUGAUGUACUAAAUGUUGAAAACCACGAAACAUGAGGGUAGUAAACAGUUUUUUACCCUUGUAAAAAAUCUUCUACAAGCAACAAGGAGAACUUUUGCAUUUGGAGCAAGAUACUGCUCUACUAAAGAUUUUAACCUCCAACACAUGAGGUGAAUAUACCGUAUUGUUCAUAAAGUAAAAACCUUUGUUCCCUGAGGUACCAUUUGGUACGCAGACGGGACGGGACGGAACAAAUAUUUCGUGUCAUGUUUGGUACUAGCAAGAUGGAACAAAACGGAACGGGGUUAAAUGACUAACUUACCCUUUUUAUUUGACUCUCCCUCUCUCUCCCGUUUCUCUGCUUUCUCUUCUUCCAUCCGUUUCGUGUUCUUCGCAUGCCCAGAUUGAUCCCAGUAAAAAUCAAUCUCAGUAAAACAAAUCCAUACUUUCUCUUCAUUUCAUUUUCUUUCUCUUCAAUUCAAACCCAUAUUUCUCUUUUUUUUUAAUUUCUUUCUCUUCAAACCAGACACAGAAAAAUCCCAAAUUAUUAUUUUAGGGAAAAACUAAUGAAAUCUUGAAAGUUCGUAUUCAAACAACCAUUUUUACUGUAAAACUUACAAAAUUAAACUAAAAAAGGUGAAAUUGAACAAAAUGCCCCGUUCUUAGCCUCCACCGGAUGCUCCUCAUUGAUGUGGCAGCAAAGCCCAACGACAUCAAAAUCCUCGGCGCAGAAAGGGCACAAAAACUCGGCCUUUAACUCAUCGUCUCUGUCAGUCUCUUCGUGCGAAAACAGAUCUGCACGACACCGGGAGAAGAAGGUGGAGCGCGGAGGUGAUGGCGCCAGAGAAGAAGGUUGAGCGCGGAGGUGACGGCGCCGGAGAAGAAGGUAGAGCACGAAGGGAGUGAACCGGAAGCCAUGGUUUGGGUUCAGAUGGAUUUACUGGGAUUGAAUUCAAAGAGAGGGAGGCUACGGGAGAGAGACAGUGGAAUUAAUGAAAAAGAUGAGGGGUAUUGUUGUCCAAAAAAUUAUAAAUUUGUGUUCCACGGGAUGGAACAACCCGUUCCAGGGGGGUAUGUGGAACCAAAAUUUAACCCAUUUUCGUUCCGUGGGACAGGCGUUCCACACAAUUUAAGUGCACCAAACGUGGGAUGGAACGCGUCCGUCUCACUUUGUUCCGUCUCGUCCCACAUACCAAACACACCCUGACAGAUACUGGUACAUGUUCAUCUCAUAUAAUUGAGCAAAUUAAAUAAUUUCAGUGGGGAGACAACAAUCAUGACGGGCGAGCUAAAUCUCCAAAUCGCAUUGAAAUUCAUAUAACAAAAGAUAAAUCUUCAAUAAGGCAGCCUCACCACAUAAUUUGUAGAAAAGCUACUACAAACGAAGAGGAACUUCUGCAUUUGGAGUAAGAUAACGCUCUACUAAAGAUUUUAACCUCCAAUAAAUGAAGUGAACUAUACCGUAUUGUUCACAAUUAAAAAUCUUUGCUCCCUGAUAUGGGUACGUAUAUGUACUCAUAUAUGAAAUUAUUGGGGACUGAAAAUUAAAUACAAGGUCCUGCCAUAGACAGCCUUGUGAUAUUCAACCCAUGUCCAGCGGCCUAUCUGAAUUCAAGGGUGAAUGAAACUAGAGUGGGAGAGUAAUGGCUCUGUCUCCUAUGGCCAAAGUAUUAAACACAAUUCGGUACAUAACAGGCUGUGAUGAUUAAUUGUUGUUGAUCUAACCACAAGUCACUACUCAUUACUGUUGAAGAUAGAAACCAUAUCAGCAGAAGAUUGUCUGUUAGAAAUGCUGUUAGUAGCUGUUAGAGUUUGUAAGAGUUUGUUAAGUCAGUUAACUCCAGCUUAAGACACAAGAAAGCCCAUGAGAGCUAUAUAAAGUUGUAGUAGUAUCCAUGUAAUUCGUUCAGAAGUAAUGCACUCAAAUAGUAUCUCUCUCAUCAAUUCCUUUCUUUUCUGCUUUCUCAUUCAUUUAAUCUUUCUCUGAGUUCUUCAUGUUCAUCUGUUAACAAUUAUAAUACUAAUUACAUUUCACAUAACAACAUCUAUGGAGAGGUUAUGUUCUAAUUUAGGUAUUAAACCAAGGAAAAUGCUAAUCCGACUCGCCAGAUAACAGCAUGUCAAAGAAGAAUAAACCACUUGCAGAGACUAUCCAUUAUCGUGCAUGCCUUAGCUAAUUAAUUAUCAUAUCCUGAUGGUGGUUUGUUCCAUAAUUUUCAAAGAUUUGCUGGAUAAUCCAAUUCCAUUUAAUAUUAAAAUUGUCAUCCAAUACUUGUUUCUUUGUUUAGAUAAGACAAAUUAAAAUUGACGUGCACUACAUACGUUUGCAAUAAUUUAUAGAGUAAUAUGUUAUAGAGAUCAUAUUUUGUAGAUUACAUGAUGUGGUGGUUGAUAAUUAAAUUCCUUAUUUAAAUCACUAAGAAAGAAAUCCAACAAUCAAGUGGUUUAUAAAUGGACAAGGAUUGCCUGCCCUCACACUUCCGGUACCCUCCCUCCUAUUUUGUGUGGUCACGGUUAAGCCACUUCAACAUUUUAUAUUAUUUUUUUUAUAGAGAUAAUAAGACAAAAAUGAAUAGUAAUAUAAAAUGUUGACGUGGUUUAACUGUGACCACACAAACAGGAGGGCACGGAAGGACACCGGAAGUGGGAUGGCAGACAAUCCUUGUCCUUUAUAAAUAUGAUUUUAAAAGGUGGUCUCCGUAGCAUUUUCCUAAUGAAAACACAUGUGUGUUGUGGAUGUAAAUUUCUUCCUCCUUGCUCUUUGACAAAAUUGCACUUACAAAACAAAUAACACCUUAGGUCAAGGUCAGGAGCCUCACGCGCCCACGAUAAAUGUGGGGGGCUUUGACCGAAGAACCUCCGAUGCCAAAGUUAGAAUUUUGAGGGAAAAUUGUUUAGAGAAUUUAAUAAGAGAAUUAGAAUUUGGUUUUGGAGAGAAAGAGGAUGUUUAUAUAGGGGUUUGGCCGACUCCUUUGGAUAGAGAUGGACCGGCCACUUGGAUAGCUUUGUGGGUGAAGUUCAUGAUUUGUGGUUAAUUAGCAAAUUAAUUGGAUAAUAAAUCAAUUAAUUAGCUAAUUAAUAUAAUAAAAAAAGAAUGAUUUGACGGUUACCUUGUGGAGAAGAUUUGAUGAGGAUAGAUGAAAUAGAUUAUAAAUUUUGGGCACUUUUUGACUUAAUUGAGGAAUAAUUGCCCACUACUCAUGCGUAGAAAUCCUGAUGUGCUUUGAAGGUAAUUUUAUCUUUUUACCUAAAAAUUCAUGUGUCGCCUCUUGAUUAUUUUGACUCCACUUGUAUCACUUUCUUAGCUAACUCGGCUGCUUUACUUCCCAGAUUUUUCUGCUGCCUCUUACAAAAUCGCCAGACACUCGAAGCAUAGCGCAGAGUAGUCAAACUAUUUGCAGAUUCCUCAUAGCAAGUGGAAUGGAUAAAAUCCUUGACAUUAUCCAGAUUGGAACCAAAAGGAAGCUGCUAAUUACACGUUCUUGUCAACUUGUCCGCACCGCAAGCAAGAUCUUCAUCGUCGUCGUCAUCACCAACUCAUCUAUUAAUCUCUAGGAGGCAUAGUUUAUUUGUACAUCAAUGUAUAGGCUUUGCAUUUUAAGUGACUCAUAUCUACUUACUAAACUACACGUUAAAUUCUUUAUUGCACAUUCAACUAUUGAAAUCAGCAAUGCAUCACCAACAUUAAUAUAUUAUAAAAUUUUAACCACACAUAAAAUUGUUUGCAAGCCAUUCGCCACAAAGCCUAUUUGGUACAAUCUCAAUAUUAACAUGCUCUAAGAGAUUAAUAAUAUUAUUUUUAUGUAAGUAUUUGGAAGGGAAGUUUUCAUGCCUUCUUGUCUUUUGCUUGUAUGCCUAGGAAUUUGUCAGCGGUGAGGUUUCUUACUUCAUUCCUCUUCUUUAUUUGUUUGGAAAGGUAUUUUUCCUUAAGGGUAGUGUUACAUUAAGAGGUAUAGCCUGCUAACGUAUAUGGGUCUUAUCUCUAUUGAAGAUAUGAUAUAAAUAGAUGGUAAGAAUAAUAUUUUUUGUAUUCUUAAAUAUAUAUGAAAGAAGGAGACUGAAAUAGUAUAAAAAGUGGAUCCAUAUGGAACCUAUGAAUAUAUCCUUUAAAAAAAAAGAGUAAGCUAGUAGCUUUGCCACAGUAGCUCACCCUUUCAGAGAUAGGAAGACUCAAAGGCAUUUCAGCCUCUCCUUGCCACCAUUUGUGAUUCACUAGCGUAAAAAAUUGAACUGAAGACGUGCCUUGUGAAAAACGGACCUAAAAUUUUCCCAAUGACUAGGCCACCCCGUGGUGGUUCUAUAAAAUAUAUUCAUAUAAAAUUAUAAAUUGUAACAUACGUAGCACAAAUGAUUUUGAAUUAAUGCUACACUUAUCACUUAUUUGUACAUUAUUUGUAUCAUCUCUCUAAUAGAGGUAUGGCUCCUCAACGGAUGUGAGUUCUAUUUCUAUUAAGAGAAUUCUCUCACCCACCUAAUCUCUCUCUCAUUUCCUCUCCUCCUAUUUGAACGGUUACGAUUAAGUUACGUCAACAUUUUAUAUUGAUCUUUUUAUAAAGACAAAAGGAUAAAAAGCAAAAUAUGAGAGGAUGUGAGGAAAGAUAAGAGAAGUAAAAGGGAAGAGACUCCUACUCCAAUAAGAUUAGCAUUUUUGGGAAAAUUUUGAGACUCCAUCUUUGAAGAUAAUUUUUUUUUUAAUACAUAAAAAAGACUAUGAUUGCUAAUUUUUAAUUCAGUAAAAAUAUUUUGGAUGACUCGAGGUGAGAGUCCUCCAUUCCAUUGUCUGGUAGCCCAGACCCAUCUGAGGGCCAUUUAGAAUUUCCGAUCCAGGCUUGCAUCUAGAAAGUGGGUUUUGAAUUGUUGGCCUAUCUGACUCGAAAAAAAUUUGUUAGACCGGCUAGGCCUUAAAUUGUUGGGCCGGUCCAUUUUCUUGUAUAUCAGGAAUGUUUUUCUUUUUAGUACAUUGUAAUCAAGAAGUUGAUUUCAUGGUUUGUUAAAAGUUUUGACAAGUUUAUAAAUAAAAGUAUGUCUUGCAGAAAACACUUGUGAGUAUAAGGCCUCGUUUGGUACGCCGUAUAGAGCAUCGGCUAUGACUAAUAAGAUGGAGCAGGUGUUUGGUGUCUGUAUGUAUUAAAUAAUUAUCAGAUUAAAUAAUCUGGCCCUACCAAUUUUAAACAGCUCAUCCGCUUAGUUGUACUCUCCAAAACUACGAUAUUAUUUAGUCGGGUUGCUCAGUCCUCUCUCGCGAUCCGCUCUCUCUGUCCCUCAAUCCACCACACACACCACCAAAUCUCGACACCAUGUCCUUAGUGAACCACAAGGCAUCGCUAAAGACCAGCCGAUGCCUCGUCGACGAUCGUAUCACUGAUGAAGUGAUGCCCUGAUAAUAGAUCUGAAGAGGAUGGUGAAAGAGAUGAUGAGUAGACUCUUUGUCUCUACAUCGGCUUCAUUUCAUCCUCCAAAAAAAGGUUUUAUAAACUUACCUAUGUUUUUGCGUUUAGAGUUUUUUCGAUUUGGAAAUGUGAGUAAAAUUGUGAGAAAUUCCAAACCACAGUAUCACCAAUGUGACUGGCCAUAAAAAACAACAUAACUCUAUUUUUUAGUAUAUACCACAUAGUAUUAUAGUCUAAUAAUAUUUCUAUUUACUUGCAAGCGAGUUUGAGUCAUUUAAUCAGAGAAAAUAGAGUUAGAGAGGAAGAAAGAAAGAAUUGCACUGAUAUUUCCUUGAUUAAUUCAAUGGUUACAAUGGUAUGCUUACUAUAUAGAUGAGUGCUAGGCUAACCACCUUAACCGACUCACUUCCUUACCAACAAUCCUAACUAAUUAUUCUAACAAUCACAUUCCUAACUGCCUUAUAUACUCUAACAUCGCCCCGCAAGCUCAUGGUGGUUCAAGCAUGAGAUUGUUACAAUUGGAGAGUAUAGGAUCUGGUCACUGCUGCACGCAUACCCUGCAAAAAGAAACCUCCUAGCAUCUGGAGCUCGUAUGUUACCAUUAUACCGUGUAUACCAUAGUACCCAAAUCAGCGUAGACUCGGUGCCCCCACCCUUAUCAUAAAUUCGCAUAUGGUAGCCUAACUGAAUAUCAAAUAUACAUCCACCAUUGCAUAACUGAAGUACAUAAAAUCCCCGAAACUCAUGUACAACAAUUUGAGUAGGAACACCAAUUUUCGUCUUGUUGUCAGCAUCAAAAUGAUAUUUCUGCGAACAAAUGGUAUGUGAUCUGCUAAUGUGUGAACUUUCUGCACCAACAGAACUAGGUAGCUGCUCCUCGGUUGCAAAGGAUCUUAAAUGACUCAAACCUAACAGUGCAUAGUGACCUUGUUCUUUACCUUUGCCACCAGAUUUCUUCUUACCUUGGUUGCUGGACAAAUCAAAUGAUGAUACAGAAGGUUGUUCCUUGGUAUUAACCAUCUUCUCAUCUUCAACUGCUGUCUUUUCCUCCACAUACCUUGUUUGGGACAAACUGUGAUAGUUCAUUAAAUCCAACUGUUGUUCUUGUUCUUGGUCCAGUUCUUGUUCUUGUUCUUGGUCCAGUUCUUGUUCUUGUUCUUGUUCCUUGAAGCUUCUUUCUGAGAAGUUUCUGUAAUAAUUAGGUAACACAUGAUUGCCAAUAGAUGGACUCUGAGAAUCACUGUCACCAAAUGCAACCAUGCCUUGGGCUUGGAAAGCAGAUUGUGAAGAAGUUUUUACAUUUAGACCUUCUCUUGCAUCCGUCAGGAAAUUUGUUGCAUUGGAAUUUCCAAGUGGCGAUAACUUGUGAGCUGAUGGAGAAUUCAGUUCACCAUCCUUGUUAUGACCAUAAAUUGACUGAUGUCCUGCCAUAACAGUUAUCUGUUGUGCAUCUAGAUCCCUCCUACUUGGAUCAGCCUCUUCAUUCUUCGUACCUUGCACUUGGUGUAGCCGGGAGUGGUCAUGACGAAAUCCAUGUGAAUGUUUUAAAGCAUGGCCAAGAAAUCCAAGAUUUCGUGCAGAGGGAGCCAGGCCAUUGCUGUCACUAUGAUGUAUUCCACCAAGAUCCCCUGUCUGUGAAGCAUCAAACGUCAUCUAUUCCUCCUGCUUCUCUUGUGCAGAAAUGAAGGCAAAAUCUGGAUUCCAAUCAGCAGAACAAUCCACAAUGGUUUCCUCAGCAAGCAAUUGUACGCGAAAGUCCUUAAGUGAAAUGAUAUUCUCACGCCCUCUGAGUACACAUUUAAAUGUGUUGUAUUUUGGAGGGAGUCCAUUCAGCGCAAAGACCACAAAGUCUUCAUCAGGAAAUGUAACACCAAGAAUAAAAAGUCCAUCCAUUGCUUCUUUAAGCCGUCGAAGAUAUUGGGAAACAGAAUCGGAUCCUUUCUUCAUGUUGUACAUAUCAAUCUUUAACUUGAUGAUACUAGUUCUUGUGACUGGUAAGAAAAAUUCGUCUUGAAGACGAACCCACAUCUCUUGAGAACUCUUGCUACCAAUCACACAAGAAAGUGCAGAUGAAGAAAGGGUUGCAGUAAGUAACAACAUCAAAGCAUGAUCAUGCAUUUUCCACACUUUAAAUUCAUCUAAUUCUGGUCUGGCAGAUGAUUCAGAUGUGAUUACAGAAUGUGUAGAUGUUGCCGCAUCCUGAGGAGGACAAGGAUUCGAUCCAUCAAUGAAUCCCAUAAUGCCAUGACCUUGUAGCAUCAUCUUCAUCAGAAAAUGCCACUGCAAGUAGUUAGUCUCAUCUAAUUUUACACAAGUAGAGGAAGAAACGGACGGAAUCAACGAUACAAUUGGGGAGUGCAAAAGUUGCAAUUGUGUAGCGGUAACCAUAACUUUUGUUGUAGAAAUGAACAACCCAGAUAGAGAUUUAGAAGAGAAACCCCAAAUUUGUUGCUGACAAAUCAAACUGGUUGAUCAGUUUUCUUUGAGAACAAAGAGCAAACACCUUGUGUGCACAACUUUGUUGAAUGUAGAAUGCAGAAAUGGGCAAUCGGAGAUGCCCAGAAAAACAGAGAAGACAUACCCAAUAUUUUCUGGUCAAUAUCUUCUAGUGAUCGGAGAUUGAACGAUCUUUAACUGAGCAGUAGUCACCAUUGUUGAUGUUGUAUAGAAUUCUUUCAUUGAGACAAUCUAUCGAACAAUUGGUAUGCAGAAACGAAGAACAAUUUCUUGAAGAUUCAUGGAGAUCGGAAGAAGCCAAUUGUUUUGUUUAUCACACAACAGAUUGCAAACUAGAGGGUAAAGAAGAGAAAGAAAUGCUUUGAUUGAGGUGCGGAAGCGCCAGGUCUAUUCGAGGCAAUGAUACCAUGUUAAGCAAUAUGCAGAAGGAGAAACAGAGAGAUCACAGAGGAAAAAGAAGAAGGAAUCAAAGAGAAUUUAGAGAGGAAGAAAGAAAGAAUUGCACUGAUAUUUCCUUGAUUAAUUCAAUGGUUACAAUGGUAUGCUUACUAUAUAGAUGAGUGCUAGGCUAACCACCUUAACCGACUCACUUCCUUACCAACAAUCCUAACUAAUUAUUCUAACAAUCACAUUCCAAACUGCCUUAUAUACUCUAACAUUUUUUAGUAUAUACCACAUAGUAUUAUAGUCUAAUAAUAUUUCUAUUUACUUGCAAGCGAGUUUGAUAUCAAUUUAUUCCUCUAUUUUUUAAUGUAAAUAUUGUAUCAAAAACUCUACUUUUUAAUAUAUUUUGCACACCAAACCUAGGGGUGGCUAGGGUGUGCUCCAGCCCAUCCCAACCUACAAAAUGUCCUACCUUUAACCUACUCUUAAACUACCAUCCUCCCACUUAAAUGGCUCAUCCCUACCCCAGAUUUUGGGCUGAAUCCGCGCCUCACUAUAUCAAACAAUUGAAAGAAAAGAAAAAGAGGUUGAUCAACUAUAUAAUUUUUUCAUUUUAGCAUUUAUGAUUGAGGCUGAUGGGUACAUAAAAAGGCCACAAAUUUUGCAGAAGAUAAAAUAAUCACAUGAAAUAAAGGUCAUACACCAAUGAGUAAAUGUUCGAUGAGGUAGCCCUAGCCCACGCACAUCUUAUAUAUAUAAACACACAAACAUGAUUUGAUACGAACGAAACAGUCGUCAUAUCAAAUGUUUUUAUUAAUCACACACAC